AGCAGCCGCGGUAAUUCCAGCUCCAAUAGCGUAUAUUAAAGUUGUUGCAGUUAAAAAGCUCGUAGUUGAAUUUCGGGGUCAGUAAGUUGGUCGUGCCACUGGUAUGUACUGGCUUUACUGAUUCCUCCUUCUUGUAGAACCGUAAUGCCAUUAAGUUGGUGUUGCGGGAAAACAGGACUGUUACUUUGAAAAAAUUAGAGUGUUUAAAGCAAGCUAACGCUUGAAUACAUUAGCAUGGAAUAAUGAAAUAGGACGAACGAUCCUAUUUUGUUGGUUUCUAGGAUUGACGUAAUGAUUAAUAGGGAUAGUUGGGGGCAUUAGUAUUCAAUUGUCAGAGGUGAAAUUCUUGGAUUUAUUGAAGACUAACUACUGCGAAAGCAUUUGCCAAGGAUGUUUUCAUUAAUCAAGAACGAAAGUUAGGGGAUCGAAGACGAUCAGAUACCGUCGUAGUCUUAACCAUAAACUAUGCCGACUAGGAAUCAGACGAUGUUAAUUUUUUCAAUGACUCGUUUGGCACCUU
Molecule: ribosomal RNA, 520 nt
Filed under: uncultured Glomus
Lineage: Eukaryota; Fungi; Glomeromycota; Glomeromycetes; Glomerales; Glomeraceae
Description: SSU rRNA
Rfam family: Eukaryotic small subunit ribosomal RNA
Source: RNAcentral